This 66-nucleotide transfer RNA is filed under the name Ellipsidion sp. BLA050. Its description in RNAcentral is "tRNA-His". Lineage: Eukaryota; Metazoa; Arthropoda; Insecta; Blattodea; Pseudophyllodromiidae. The record is from RNAcentral.
ACUUAGAUAAUUUAAUAAUAAAAAUUUUGAUUUGUGGUGUCAAAUAUGUACUAGGUACUUUAAGUU